This 354-nucleotide ribosomal RNA is filed under the name bacterium LimC-1-A-181. RNAcentral's name for it is "bacterial SSU rRNA". It matches the Rfam family "Bacterial small subunit ribosomal RNA", at positions 352 to 698 of the family's 1533-position model. The record is from RNAcentral.
CAGUAGGGAAUCUUCCGCAAUGGACGAAAGUCUGACGGAGCAACGCCGCGUGAGUGAUGAAGGUUUUCGGAUCGUAAAGCUCUGUUGUUAGGGAAGAACAAGUGCAAGAGUAACUGCUUGCACCUUGACGGUACCUAACCAGAAAGCCACGGCUAACUACGUGCCAGCAGCCGCGGUAAUACGUAGGUGGCAAGCGUUGUCCGGAAUUAUUGGGCGUAAAGGGCUCGCAGGCGGUUUCUUAAGUCUGAUGUGAAAGCCCCCGGCUCAACCGGGGAGGGUCAUUGGAAACUGGGAAACUUGAGUGCAGAAGAGGAGAGUGGAAUUCCACGUGUAGCGGUGAAAUGCGUAGAGAUG